GCUUAUUCUUCAGGUACACGUCAUUGUGUUCCUCCCUGAAAAAAGAGGUUUACAACCCAUAGGCAGUCAUCCCUCACGCGGUAUUGCUCCGUCAGGCUUUCGCCCAUUGCGGAAAAUUCCCA
This 122-nucleotide ribosomal RNA is filed under the name uncultured eukaryote. RNAcentral's name for it is "partial 16S ribosomal RNA". The record is from RNAcentral.